Molecule: ribosomal RNA, 449 nt
Filed under: uncultured bacterium
Lineage: Bacteria
Description: bacterial SSU rRNA
Rfam family: Bacterial small subunit ribosomal RNA
Source: RNAcentral
GAUGAACGCUGGCGGCGUGCUUAACACAUGCAAGUCGAACGAAGCACCUUAUUCUGAUUUCUUCGGAAUGAAAAAUUUGGUGACUGAGUGGCGGACGGGUGAGUAACGCGUGGGUAACCUGCCUCAUACAGGGGGAUAACAGUUAGAAAUGACUGCUAAUACCGCAUAAGACCACAGCACCGCAUGGUGCAGGGGCAAAAACUCCGGUGGUAUGAGAUGGACCCGCGUCUGAUUAGGUAGUUGGUGGGGUAACGGCCUACCAAGCCGACGAUCAGUAGCCGACCUGAGAGGGUGACCGGCCACAUUGGGACUGAGACACGGCCCAAACUCCUACGGGAGGCAGCAGUGGGGAAUAUUGCACAAUGGGGGAAACCCUGAUGCAGCGACGCCGCGUGAGCGAUGAAGUAUUUCGGUAUGUAAAGCUCUAUCAGCAGGGAAGAAAAUGACGG